GACGAACGCUGGCGGCGUGCUUAACACAUGCAAGUCGAACGGUGAAGCGCUUGCCUUUUUGGUGGGUGUGGAUGAGUGGCGAACGGGUGAGUAACACGUGAGUAACCUGCCCUCUUCUUCUGGAUAACCUCAUGAAAGUGGGGCUAAUACGGGGUAUUCCGGGUCUGUCGCAUGGCGGGUUUGGGAAAGAUUGCGCCUUUGGGUGUUUUCGGUGGGGGAUGGGCUCGCGGCCUAUCAGCUUGUUGGUGGGGUGAUGGCCUACCAAGGCGGUGACGGGUAGCCGGCGUGAGAGGGUGGACGGCCACACUGGGACUGAGACACGGACCAGACUCGUGCGGGAGGCAGCAGUGGGGAAUAUGGCACAAUGGGCGCAAGCCUGAUGCAGCGACGCCGCGUGAGGGAUGGAGGCCUUCGGGUUGUGAACCUCUUUCGCCAGUGAAGCAGGCCUGCCUCGUUUGUGGGUGGGUUGACGGUAGCUGGAUAAGAAGCGCCGGCUAACUACGUG
Molecule: ribosomal RNA, 505 nt
Filed under: uncultured bacterium
Lineage: Bacteria
Description: partial 16S ribosomal RNA
Rfam family: Bacterial small subunit ribosomal RNA
Source: RNAcentral